GCAAGGUUAAACUCAAAUGAAUUGACGGGGGCCCGCACAAGCGGUGGAGCAUGUGGAUUAAUUCGAUGAAAUGCGAAGAACCUUACCUGGUGUUGACAUCCACAGAAAUUUCCAGAGAUGGAUUGGUGCCUUCGGGAGCUGUGAGACAGGUGCUGCAUGGCUGUCGUCAGCUCGUGUUGUGAAAUGUUGGGUUAAGUCCCGCAACGAGCGCAACCCUUAUCCUUUGUUGCCAGCGGUUAGGCCGGGAACUCAAAGGAGACUGCCAGUGAUAAACUGGAGGAAGGUGGGGAUGACGUCAAGUCAUCAUGGCCCUUACGACCAGGGCUACACACGUGCUACAAUGGCGCAUACAAAGAGAAGCGACCUCGCGAGAGCAAGCGGACCUCAUAAAGUGCGUAGUAGUCCGGAUUGGAGUCUGCAACUCGACUCCACGAAGUCGGAAUCGCUAGUAAUGGUAGAUCAGAAUGGUACGGUGAAUACGUUCCCGGGCCUUGUACACACCGCCCGUCACACCAUGGGAGUGGGUUGCAAAAGAAGUAGGUAGCUUAACCUUCGGGAGGGCGCUUACCA
RNAcentral lists this ribosomal RNA (570 nucleotides) under Enterobacter cloacae. Its description in RNAcentral is "bacterial SSU rRNA". It matches the Rfam family "Bacterial small subunit ribosomal RNA", at positions 888 to 1459 of the family's 1533-position model. Lineage: Bacteria; Pseudomonadati; Pseudomonadota; Gammaproteobacteria; Enterobacterales; Enterobacteriaceae. The record is from RNAcentral.